Molecule: ribosomal RNA, 773 nt
Filed under: Priestia flexa
Lineage: Bacteria; Bacillati; Bacillota; Bacilli; Caryophanales; Bacillaceae
Description: bacterial SSU rRNA
Rfam family: Bacterial small subunit ribosomal RNA
Source: RNAcentral
GAUGAACGCUGGCGGCGUGCCUAAUACAUGCAAGUCGAGCGAACUGAUUAGAAGCUUGCUUCUAUGACGUUAGCGGCGGACGGGUGAGUAACACGUGGGCAACCUGCCUGUAAGACUGGGAUAACUCCGGGAAACCGGAGCUAAUACCGGAUAACAUUUUCUCUUGCAUAAGAGAAAAUUGAAAGAUGGUUUCGGCUAUCACUUACAGAUGGGCCCGCGGUGCAUUAGCUAGUUGGUGAGGUAACGGCUCACCAAGGCAACGAUGCAUAGCCGACCUGAGAGGGUGAUCGGCCACACUGGGACUGAGACACGGCCCAGACUCCUACGGGAGGCAGCAGUAGGGAAUCUUCCGCAAUGGACGAAAGUCUGACGGAGCAACGCCGCGUGAACGAAGAAGGCCUUCGGGUCGUAAAGUUCUGUUGUUAGGGAAGAACAAGUACCAGAGUAACUGCUGGUACCUUGACGGUACCUAACCAGAAAGCCACGGCUAACUACGUGCCAGCAGCCGCGGUAAUACGUAGGUGGCAAGCGUUAUCCGGAAUUAUUGGGCGUAAAGCGCGCGCAGGCGGUUUCUUAAGUCUGAUGUGAAAGCCCACGGCUCAACCGUGGAGGGUCAUUGGAAACUGGGGAACUUGAGUGCAGAAGAGAAAAGCGGAAUUCCACGUGUAGCGGUGAAAUGCGUAGAGAUGUGGAGGAACACCAGUGGCGAAGGCGGCUUUUUGGUCUGUAACUGACGCUGAGGCGCGAAAGCGUGGGGAGCAAACAGGAUUAGA